Molecule: ribosomal RNA, 206 nt
Filed under: uncultured bacterium
Lineage: Bacteria
Description: partial 16S ribosomal RNA
Rfam family: Bacterial small subunit ribosomal RNA
Source: RNAcentral
GGAUUGUAGUCUGCAACCCGACUACACGAAGCUGGAAUCGCUAGUAAUCGCGAAUCAGAACGUCGCGGUGAAUACGUUCCCGGGUCUUGUACACACCGCCCGUCACACCAUGGGAGUCGGGAAUGCCCGAAGCCGGUGACCCAACCGAAAGGAGGGAGCCGUCGAAGGCAGGUCUGAUAACUGGGGUGAAGUCGUAACAAGGUAGC